This 71-nucleotide transfer RNA is filed under the name Marmota monax (woodchuck). RNAcentral's name for it is "tRNA.Ala". The record is from RNAcentral. Lineage: Eukaryota; Metazoa; Chordata; Mammalia; Rodentia; Sciuridae.
GAGGUUGUGGCUCAGUGGUAGAGCAGUCGCCUGGCAUGAGUGAGGCACUGGGUUCGAUCCUCAGCACCACA